RNAcentral lists this ribosomal RNA (2305 nucleotides) under Xanthomonas nasturtii. RNAcentral describes it as "partial 23S ribosomal RNA". It matches the Rfam family "Bacterial large subunit ribosomal RNA", at positions 637 to 2925 of the family's 2925-position model. Lineage: Bacteria; Pseudomonadati; Pseudomonadota; Gammaproteobacteria; Lysobacterales; Lysobacteraceae. The record is from RNAcentral.
GUGGCAAGCUUAACCGUAUAGGGGAGGCGAAGGGAAACCGAGUCUGAUAAGGGCGCAUAGUCGCGGGCAGUAGACCCGAAACCGGGUGAUCUAGUCAUGGCCAGGGUGAAGGUGCCGUAACAGGUACUGGAGGCCCGAACCCACGUCUGUUGCAAAAGACGGGGAUGAGCUGUGAUUAGGAGUGAAAAGCUAAUCGAACCCGGAGAUAGCUGGUUCUCCUCGAAAGCUAUUUAGGUAGCGCCUCGGACGAAUACUACUGGGGGUAGAGCACUGUUAUGGCUAGGGGGUCAUCGCGACUUACCAAACCAUUGCAAACUCCGAAUACCAGUACGUACUAUCCGGGAGACACACGGCGGGUGCUAACGUCCGUCGUGAAAAGGGAAACAACCCAGACCCACAGCUAAGGUCCCAAAUUCACUGCUAAGUGGAAAACGAUGUGGAAAGGCAUAGACAGCCAGGAGGUUGGCUUAGAAGCAGCCACCCUUUAAAGAAAGCGUAAUAGCUCACUGGUCGAGUCGGUCUGCGCGGAAGAUUUAACGGGGCUAAGCAGUGAACCGAAGCUUGGGGUGCGUAAAACUUCGGUUUUAUGCGCGGUAGAGGAGCGUUCCGUAAGCCUGCGAAGGUGGAUUGAGAAGUCUGCUGGAGGUAUCGGAAGUGCGAAUGCUGACAUGAGUAACGAUAAUGCGGGUGAAAAGCCCGCACGCCGAAAGCCCAAGGUUUCCUUGCGCAACGUUAAUCGACGCAGGGUUAGUCGGUCCCUAAGGCGAGGGCGAAAGCCGUAGUCGAUGGGAAGCAGGUUAAUAUUCCUGCACCUCGCGUGAGUGCGAUGGAGGGACGGAGAAGGUUAGGUGUACCGGGCGUUGGUUGUCCCGGGGAAAGGCGGUAGGUUUGAAUCUUUGGCAAAUCCGGGAUUCUUUAAGACCGAGCACCGAGACGAGCCUUUAUGGCGAAGUCACUGAUACCACGCUUCCAGGAAAAGCUCCUAAGCUUCAGCUCACGAAGACCGUACCGUAAACCGACACAGGUGGGUAGGAUGAGAAUUCUCAGGCGCUUGAGAGAACUCGGGUGAAGGAACUAGGCAACAUGGCACCGUAACUUCGGGAGAAGGUGCACCCUUUUUGGUGGCUCAUGCGAGCUAUAGCUGAAGAGGGUCGCAGAAACCAGGCCGCUGCGACUGUUUAUCAAAAACACAGCACUCUGCAAACACGAAAGUGGACGUAUAGGGUGUGACGCCUGCCCGGUGCUGGAAGGUUAAUUGAUGGGGUCAGCCGCAAGGCGAAGCUCUUGAUCGAAGCCCCAGUAAACGGCGGCCGUAACUAUAACGGUCCUAAGGUAGCGAAAUUCCUUGUCGGGUAAGUUCCGACCUGCACGAAUGGCGUAACGACAGCGGCGCUGUCUCCACCCGAGACUCAGUGAAAUUGAAAUCGCUGUGAAGAUGCAGCGUUCCCGUGGCAAGACGGAAAGACCCCGUGAACCUUUACUAUAGCUUUACACUGAACGUUGAGUUCGUCUGUGUAGGAUAGGUGGGAGGCUAUGAAACUGUGGCGCUAGCUGCAGUGGAGCCAUCCUUGAAAUACCACCCUGUCGUGCUUGACGUUCUAACCUAGAUCCGUUAUCCGGAUCAGGGACCGUGUAUGGUGGGUAGUUUGACUGGGGCGGUCUCCUCCUAAAGAGUAACGGAGGAGCACGAAGGUACGCUCAGCGCGGUCGGACAUCGCGCACUGUGUGCAAAGGCAUAAGCGUGCUUGACUGCAAGAUCGACGGAUCAAGCAGGUACGAAAGUAGGUCUUAGUGAUCCGGUGGUUCUGUAUGGAAGGGCCAUCGCUCAACGGAUAAAAGGUACUCCGGGGAUAACAGGCUGAUACCGCCCAAGAGUUCAUAUCGACGGCGGUGUUUGGCACCUCGAUGUCGGCUCAUCACAUCCUGGGGCUGUAGUCGGUCCCAAGGGUAUGGCUGUUCGCCAUUUAAAGUGGUACGCGAGCUGGGUUCAGAACGUCGUGAGACAGUUCGGUCCCUAUCUGCCAUGGGCGUUGGAAGUUUGAGAGGGGCUGCUCCUAGUACGAGAGGACCGGAGUGGACGAACCUCUGGUGUUCCGGUUGUCACGCCAGUGGCAUUGCCGGGUAGCUAUGUUCGGAAGCGAUAACCGCUGAAAGCAUCUAAGCGGGAAGCGCGCCUCAAGAUGAGACUUCCCGGGGCACAAGCCCCCUAAAGGAACCAUGUAGACUACGUGGUUGAUAGGUCAGGUGUGUAAGUACAGCAAUGUAUUGAGCUAACUGAUACUAAUGAUCCGUGCGGCUUGACCAU